Molecule: ribosomal RNA, 463 nt
Filed under: uncultured bacterium
Lineage: Bacteria
Description: partial 16S ribosomal RNA
Rfam family: Bacterial small subunit ribosomal RNA
Source: RNAcentral
GAUGAACGCUGACAGAAUGCUUAACACAUGCAAGUCGAUGGGGAAGUGGUGCUUGCACCAUGGCAACCAUGGCGGACGGGUGAGUAACGCGUAAGGGACUUACCUGCAGGACUGGGAUAACAGGGGGAAACUCCUGACAAGACCGGAUAAUGUCAUGGAGCUGCAUGGCUUUAUGAUGAAAGGAGACGCCUGCGGAGAGCCUUGCGUCCUAUUAGCUAGUUGGUGAGGUAAUGGCUCACCAAGGCGAAGAUAGGUAGCCGGCCUGAGAGGGUGGACGGCCACAAGGGGACUGAGAUACGGCCUUUACUCCUACGGGAGGCAGCAGUGGGGAAUAUUGGACGAUGGGGGCAACCCUGAUCCAGCAAUUCUGUGUGCACGAAGAAGGUUUUCGGAUUGUAAAGUGCUUUCAGCAGGGAAGAAGUAAGUGACGGUACCUGCAGAAGAAGCGACGGCUAAAUACGUG